CCUGAAACGUUGCUUCGGUGGGCGNNUCCAGGGGGAGUCAUAUGCCUUAUAGGUGCCCGCCGGAGGACCUAAACUCUUCUGAAUUUUAGUGGCCUCUCUGAGAAAAAACAUAAUAAGUUAAAACUUUCAACAACGGAUCUCUUGGUUCUGGCAUCGAUGAAGAACGCAGCGAAACGCGAUAAGUAAUGUGAAUUGCAGAAUUCAGUGAAUCAUCGAAUCUUUGAACGCACAUUGCGCCCGCCAGCAUUCUGGCGGGCAUGCCUGUUCGAGCGUCAUUUCAACCCUCAAGCACUGCUUGGUGUUGGAGCUCGUACGGCCUAGCGGCCGCACGCUCCGAAAAUCAGUGGCGGACUCUCCGAGACUCCGGGCGCAGUAGAGAUGCGACGCCUUGGAAGUCUAGGCGGGCUCUUGCCGUUAAACCCCAUCUUUUAAAGGUUGACCUCGGAUCAGGUAGGAAUACCCGCUGAACUUAAGCAUAUCAAUAAGCGGAGGAA
This 494-nucleotide ribosomal RNA is filed under the name uncultured Sordariomycetidae. RNAcentral describes it as "eukaryotic LSU rRNA". The stretch from base 122 to 275 matches the Rfam family "5.8S ribosomal RNA". Lineage: Eukaryota; Fungi; Ascomycota; Sordariomycetes. The record is from RNAcentral.